Molecule: ribosomal RNA, 1070 nt
Filed under: Streptococcus agalactiae 18RS21
Lineage: Bacteria; Bacillati; Bacillota; Bacilli; Lactobacillales; Streptococcaceae
Description: bacterial SSU rRNA
Rfam family: Bacterial small subunit ribosomal RNA
Source: RNAcentral
UCUUCGGCAAUGGACGGAAGUCUGACCGAGCAACGCCGCGUGAGUGAAGAAGGUUUUCGGAUCGUAAAGCUCUGUUGUUAGAGAAGAACGUUGGUAGGAGUGGAAAAUCUACCAAGUGACGGUAACUAACCAGAAAGGGACGGCUAACUACGUGCCAGCAGCCGCGGUAAUACGUAGGUCCCGAGCGUUGUCCGGAUUUAUUGGGCGUAAAGCGAGCGCAGGCGGUUCUUUAAGUCUGAAGUUAAAGGCAGUGGCUUAACCAUUGUACGCUUUGGAAACUGGAGGACUUGAGUGCAGAAGGGGAGAGUGGAAUUCCAUGUGUAGCGGUGAAAUGCGUAGAUAUAUGGAGGAACACCGGUGGCGAAAGCGGCUCUCUGGUCUGUAACUGACGCUGAGGCUCGAAAGCGUGGGGAGCAAACAGGAUUAGAUACCCUGGUAGUCCACGCCGUAAACGAUGAGUGCUAGGUGUUAGGCCCUUUCCGGGGCUUAGUGCCGCAGCUAACGCAUUAAGCACUCCGCCUGGGGAGUACGACCGCAAGGUUGAAACUCAAAGGAAUUGACGGGGGCCCGCACAAGCGGUGGAGCAUGUGGUUUAAUUCGAAAGCACGCGAAGAACCUUACCAGGUCUUGACAUCCUUCUGACCGGCCUAGAGAUAGGCUUUCUCUUCGGAGCAGAAGUGACAGGUGGUGCAUGGUUGUCGUCAGCUCGUGUCGUGAGAUGUUGGGUUAAGUCCCGCAACGAGCGCAACCCCUAUUGUUAGUUGCCAUCAUUAAGUUGGGCACUCUAGCGAGACUGCCGGUAAUAAACCGGAGGAAGGUGGGGAUGACGUCAAAUCAUCAUGCCCCUUAUGACCUGGGCUACACACGUGCUACAAUGGUUGGUACAACGAGUCGCAAGCCGGUGACGGCAAGCUAAUCUCUUAAAGCCAAUCUCAGUUCGGAUUGUAGGCUGCAACUCGCCUACAUGAAGUCGGAAUCGCUAGUAAUCGCGGAUCAGCACGCCGCGGUGAAUACGUUCCCGGGCCUUGUACACACCGCCCGUCACACCACGAGAGUUUGUAACACCCGAA